This is a long non-coding RNA of Aegilops tauschii subsp. strangulata, 4843 nucleotides long. RefSeq lists it as uncharacterized. The record is from RefSeq and is a predicted model, not a curated record. NCBI's taxonomy places the organism in Eukaryota, Viridiplantae, Streptophyta, Magnoliopsida, Poales, Poaceae.
UUCAGCGCAAUCUCCUCCUCUUCCCAUCGCUCAUUUUCUUUUCUCCCCUCCCGGCGCUCACAUCUUCCACGCAAGAGGCAACCCAUCGACCCCCUCCAGAAAUCUUAUCCCAUCUACUGUACAGGGCGGCGGCGGCUGGGAUCCCAUCUCCACGCCAGGUGCUCUCCGGCACGACCGCCGAUUUGGCUUGCCUCCAUUGCACUCCAGGAUUCUCUGGGGCUACGUUUCGCUGGUGUGUUGCCUGCAUCAUCAAGACGGCGGCACCCCAGUCCUUCCCCACGUCUAUGUCUUUGUUCCAUCCAAUGUAGCUCUGGUGAUGCUCCUCCACCUGCCAUCUGCGCCACCCAAACCAGCCGCAACCUCUUGCAUCCACUGCCCACACAUGUGCCGGCCAAGUUGGCCGCACAACCACAAGCGACCCACAUGGGAAGCGUCGCUGCUCCUAUAGAUGCCACCGUGGCUGCCUCGUUGCAAUCGGGCAUCGUGCAGAGGUAUUUCUACUACAAACUCCAUCUAAGUUGUGAAUAUUUUUCCCUUUUGACUAUUUCUAUAUAAUUAAGUGUUGCACAUGAAGAGUUCUUCGUGAGUAAUCAAGAUUGGUACAUGAAUAUCGCAAUUUCCCUUUCGAUUCCUGUAAUCUCUCUAUUCCUCUUCACAAUAGCGUCUGGGUCCAUCAUCUUUCUUUUCAUUUAUUUUUGGAGAUGGCUCCCUACACCUAUAUAUCUUGAUUUUGCAGCAGGUCGCACGCCGUCAGGAAUCCAUCAAUUCCUACUUCUGCUACUACACGAAGGUACGCACUGAUGUUUAUUCAUGCGUUGGAUCUUUUAAGCCCUUAUUGCUGAAUUCCAAGUCCUUCACCUUCGCUUACUGUUGUGCAUUAUUAGGAUGCCACUUGAUCUCUAUUCAACUUUCUGACCGCUUGUAAUCCUACACCAUAGAGGUAGGCGGUGAUGCUAUGAUAGCUUCUUGCUGCAUUUUUAUUCAUCCACCGAGAUUAACAUUAUGCACUAUAUGAUGAGAUCAUCUGCUCAAGAUUUCUUGUAGUUAAUGUUGUCAUUUUGUGAUUAUCUCUAUAUUAGAAUCUGUAUGUUCUGGCAAUAAAAUGUUUUGUUUGUUUUAUUCCUGUAGGUAUACAGUGCAUUCUAGGCAUUCCCUUAUAUUUUACCCAAACCAAUAUGACCUCACUGAUGACUGACAAGCUUCUCUGCCCUUGAAUCAGCAUCUCGCAUACGAAUGACUGAUGAAAGAUUUUCUUUACUCUUGAAUCCGACCGAUCUUAAUAUUGCAAAACUGUCAGGUUUGAUGCUUCAAGUUCUCAUGCAUGUAAUUCGUAUAAAGGUUUAAUAUUGCAAAACUUCCUUCACUUUCAGCAUCAUUGCCGCUUGCGUGCGCCUCAACCUGCACAUAGAUCGGGAGAAAAGGAUGGCGGAGACUAGAUAAAGGAAGAGGACAAGUGGAGAUAUCAAUUUCGUAUGAUGCAACAUGGUCAGGUAGAUAUGCAGCCGAUAGAAGCGUUUGCUUUGUCAGGGGAGGAGAGCUCCUGCGUCAUACCUGAACUACACCAUGAUCUGCUGCCAUCAAGAUACACACCCAGAUCCAAAAAAAUAGUUUCAACUUGCAGAUUUGUUGUUUACUAACCAAUUUUCUCUAGCAGGCGGCGUCAAUCAUAUUAUUGUACCCCUUUGAUAUAGGCGAUACGUACCGUCCAGUGAAGGUACUUUUUUCUAUAUUCGGCGAUUGAGUCUCAAUCAUUCUGAUGUUUUACUGUCGUGAGUUACAUCAUCAUAUAUGCACACCCGAGAGUGUAGACAAGUAUAGGCCUGUGAACAGUCAAAGGAAGAUGAUAAAAAAAUAGUAUAUGAUGGAAUCAUCUAGCAGUUCCUGGAUGUUGUGCUGUCAAGACUCGAGUGCUAUUUUCCCAAUAUAUAGACUUAAGAACAUCUCCUGCUUUAAUGGUCGUAACAGAUUGUUAUUCUUUUAUUGCUUCAGUGCUACACCUACAGUCUAAUUAUGUCCGUCUUUGCGUCGUAAGAUUCAAUUCUAAUCCCUCUUUAUUGUCAUAAUCUUUUGACACAACGUACAUGCCUUUUGUUUGUAACAAGGUAUCCUGACUUCCCAAGCCAUAAUUCUUACAAUAUUAAUUAGAAUAGAAUGUACGGAAUGCGUAAUAUGCUUAUGGGAUGCUAUGUUCCGUUAUUGAACCAAAGUUCCACUAUGCAAAGUUUAAGAGCUUUCUCCCUUACCUGGCAUUGUCUUAUGAAGUCUAACUGGCUCACAACCUUAUUUCAUUUUAAAACUUACCUUUCUCGCUAAUUUUUGUAUAAUUAUUUCAUUCGCUGAAUCUAGUAGAUUGAAUAAAUUUGCAGAAUUAUGAUACAACCUGAACUGGUACGCUUCUGUUCUCACCAUCAUGCAAAUGUUCUUGCACGCUAUUCUGUUUUGUCCUCCCUGUUAAUGCAGAUGACUACUCGCUAUUGUGGCCAGAUGAAGAUAAGGAAUUUCAUGCAAGUGACAAAGAAGCAUUACCACCACCCAGGGAGAUCUCCAAUGUUUAUUUGUUUUGUGUUUCUUUAUCUGCUCUUUGUGUGUCGGUUAUUUUGGUUGAGCGGAUGGUUGAGUAGUCACUGGAACGGAAACACCGGCAAACAUUGAUAUGAUAUAAAACACACAAUCUUUGUAUUUUUCUUCCCAGUUGUGAAUUGUUUAGUUUUAUGAAAUGAUUUUAUUUUAGCUGGGAGAUGACUGGUUAACAAUUAUAUUCAAAUUAUCUAUAUUUCAUUUCUCUAAUAUAUCCUCUUAUUUCUUUCUACAAUUCCCGCAGCGCGCGGGGUAUCAUCUAGUAUCCCUAGACUAUGUUACUACCUUCAUAGUGGGUAGUAACAUAGGUGUGGUGUCAUAGAAUACAACAUACGGAUGUAUGUAAACACAUUUUAGAGUGUAGAUUCACUCAUUUUGCUCCGUAUGUAGUCACUUGAUGAAAUCUCUAGAAAGACUUAUAUUUAGGAACGGAGGGAGUAAAUUAUAGACUCAUAUUGCAUUGGGACAUGUGAUGCUACAGUAACUAGCUAAGUUACUCAAACUACCUCUCUCUUCAUUAACUCAUUGCCACAUAGACAAAUUUGCUGAGUUGGAUUCGAAGUUACUGCUGAAGUUACUCCCACUGUGGCUAGUCUUGCACGCUCGAGUCAUCAUAAGAGCAAGUUCAGCAGUUCCCGAAGCCCUCUCCGAUCGUUGUUUCAGGGGAGAAAGCAGAAAAAACUACCUCCAGCAGCGCCCUAAUUUACUUCCCUUUUUUUACCUCCCCAAAAACGCUGCCACUCUCCCCUCUAUCUAGGGGAACUACGACCUCCCCAAUCCCCUCCCCGACUUUGCUGCGGAAAGCUCCCUCCCGCCACCGCAUCGCAGGUUCGUUCCCUCCUCAGUUUUCUCUCUGAUCCGGGCAAAAAAUAGUGAAUCUAGGCUAAGGAGUCAUGGCGCUACCGGGGAGUGAUACAGGGGUGGCGUGGCCGCCGUGUGAAGACUGGGACGUGCUGGAAGGGAGGAGCUGGGCGGUGCUGCUAGAGAGAUGACAUGGAUCCAUUCAUGGUGUGGCUUGCUACACGCUUCUCCUAGAGAGAACAGAGAGAAAGAGAGCAGAGAUAGAGAGAUGCGCUGAUUGUUGCACAUUUAUAUAGAUGUAUGGUGCUUCCUUUUAUGAUGUAUGCUAUUGUAUGAUGUGUUGUACUGCUGAUUGCUGCACAUUUAGAUAUAGAUCAGAGAGAUAGCUUGCUACUGGCUGCUGCUGCUAUCGCUAGUAAUUUGCUACUGGCUGCUGCUGCUAUUUGAUUUUAUUUGUAUUUUCUACUGAUUGCUAUUGAUUGUUGCAAGUUAUUUACUACUGGGAGAUAACAUUUACAUAGCUAUUUGCAACUGAUUGCCGGUAGUUAUUUGCUACUGGUUGUUGCACAUCUAUAUGAUGUAUGGUUCGUUUGUUUCUGUUUCAGAUUUUGGUAAUGGACAGCCAGAGUUAUUUUGAUCUUUUGCAAAGUGAUGUCGGAUUGAAUGAUUUGCACUGGACUGAAGAAGAACAAAUUGAUCUCGAAAAGCAUGAAGAACGAUAAAGUGAUCUCGAAGGGCCUGAAGAACCUACUUGUCCUAUGAAGAAAAAGAGGACGGUGCAUUCUAUACCUGUGAAGAAAAACUUAAAAUGAGACAUGAAGAAUCGCUACUAUGGUGAAAACGAAACGGAUGCACCAGUUUCAUACCUAUUGCACAACAUCCUCGGGGUGAAGGUACAGUUCUAAGCAAAAUAGUCCUUGUGGAGGUUCUGAAAGCGUCCCGCAAAAUCACGCUGAAGAGAUUAGCGUCCUAGUUGUGAACCUCCAUGUCGUGGAGCAUCCAACCGGGCUUGUUCUUCCUUUCCUACGAUUGCAGCCAUCAUGAGUUCCUCGUCUUCGGAGGAGGAAUCUUCACAAAUUAUCGGGCCAAGCUUCGACGGCGACUCAUUUCGUUGUGGAGAGAUGGCGAAAGAGAAGUAGAAGAGGAGGCAUAAUCAUGAUUGUGAGAGAUAUGAGGGGUGAUCAUGUAUUUAUAGAGCCGAAUACUAGCCAUUGGAAAACUAGCCAUUUGAAAACUAGCCGUUGGUAGUUAUGAAAUAUUCUUAAAAUAUAGAAUAAGGGAGAUGUUUAGGGGAACUGCUGGAGUUGAGUAAUUUUUAGGGGAGAAUCUUGUUAAGGCAGUCCCCUAUUUUGAGAAAUAGGGGAGAAAUUUUAGGGGGACUGUUGAACUUGCUUUAGGGAGCAACUCUAGCAUAGGCGGCACAAUAACCGUCAAUAAUGAUAUUGACUGAAAAGGUCGUCAUUCA